UUAGACAUUAUUGUUUGGGAUUAAAGU
Molecule: non-coding RNA, 27 nt
Filed under: Rattus norvegicus (Norway rat)
Lineage: Eukaryota; Metazoa; Chordata; Mammalia; Rodentia; Muridae
Source: RNAcentral